This 2861-nucleotide ribosomal RNA is filed under the name Salmonella enterica subsp. enterica serovar Enteritidis. RNAcentral's name for it is "bacterial LSU rRNA". It matches the Rfam family "Bacterial large subunit ribosomal RNA". Lineage: Bacteria; Pseudomonadati; Pseudomonadota; Gammaproteobacteria; Enterobacterales; Enterobacteriaceae. The record is from RNAcentral.
GGGUUGUGAGGUUAAGCGACUAAGCGUACACGGUGGAUGCCCUGGCAGUCAGAGGCGAUGAAGGGCGUGCUAAUCUGCGAUAAGCGCCGGUAAGGUGAUAUGAACCGUUAUAACCGGCGAUACCCGAAUGGGGAAACCCAGUGUGAUUCGUCACACUAUCAUUAACUGAAUCCAUAGGUUAAUGAGGCGAACCGGGGGAACUGAAACAUCUAAGUACCCCGAGGAAAAGAAAUCAACCGAGAUUCCCCCAGUAGCGGCGAGCGAACGGGGAGGAGCCCAGAGCCUGAAUCAGCAUGUGUGUUAGUGGAAGCGUCUGGAAAGGCGCGCGAUACAGGGUGACAGCCCCGUACACAAAAGCGCAUGUGCUGUGAGCUCGAUGAGUAGGGCGGGACACGUGGUAUCCUGUCUGAAUAUGGGGGGACCAUCCUCCAAGGCUAAAUACUCCUGACUGACCGAUAGUGAACCAGUACCGUGAGGGAAAGGCGAAAAGAACCCCGGCGAGGGGAGUGAAAAAGAACCUGAAACCGUGUACGUACAAGCAGUGGGAGCNNNNNNNNNNNNNNNNNNNNNNNNNNNNNNNNNNNNNNNNNNGGCGUUAAGUUGCAGGGUAUAGACCCGAAACCCGGUGAUCUAGCCAUGGGCAGGUUGAAGGUUGGGUAACACUAACUGGAGGACCGAACCGACUAAUGUUGAAAAAUUAGCGGAUGACCUGUGGCUGGGGGUGAAAGGCCAAUCAAACCGGGAGAUAGCUGGUUCUCCCCGAAAGCUAUUUAGGUAGCGCCUCGUGAAUUCAUCUCCGGGGGUAGAGCACUGUUUCGGCUAGGGGGCCAUCCCGGCUUACCAACCCGAUGCAAACUGCGAAUACCGGAGAAUGUUAUCACGGGAGACACACGGCGGGUGCUAACGUCCGUCGUGAAGAGGGAAACAACCCAGACCGCCAGCUAAGGUCCCAAAGUCAUGGUUAAGUGGGAAACGAUGUGGGAAGGCCCAGACAGCCAGGAUGUUGGCUUAGAAGCAGCCAUCAUUUAAAGAAAGCGUAAUAGCUCACUGGUCGAGUCGGCCUGCGCGGAAGAUGUAACGGGGCUAAACCAUGCACCGAAGCUGCGGCAGCGACACUGUGUGUUGUUGGGUAGGGGAGCGUUCUGUAAGCCUGCGAAGGUGGCCUGUGAGGGUUGCUGGAGGUAUCAGAAGUGCGAAUGCUGACAUAAGUAACGAUAAAGCGGGUGAAAAGCCCGCUCGCCGGAAGACCAAGGGUUCCUGUCCAACGUUAAUCGGGGCAGGGUGAGUCGACCCCUAAGGCGAGGCCGAAAGGCGUAGUCGAUGGGAAACGGGUUAAUAUUCCCGUACUUGGUGUUACUGCGAAGGGGGGACGGAGAAGGCUAUGUUGGCCGGGCGACGGUUGUCCCGGUUUAAGCGUGUAGGUGUGUGUUCCAGGUAAAUCCGGUUCACUUUAACACUGAGGCGUGACGACGAGGCACUACGGUGCUGAAGCAACAAAUGCCCUGCUUCCAGGAAAAGCCUCUAAGCAUCAGGUAACAUCAAAUCGUACCCCAAACCGACACAGGUGGUCAGGUAGAGAAUACCAAGGCGCUUGAGAGAACUCGGGUGAAGGAACUAGGCAAAAUGGUGCCGUAACUUCGGGAGAAGGCACGCUGACACGUAGGUGAAGUGAUUUACUCAUGGAGCUGAAGUCAGUCGAAGAUACCAGCUGGCUGCAACUGUUUAUUAAAAACACAGCACUGUGCAAACACGAAAGUGGACGUAUACGGUGUGACGCCUGCCCGGUGCCGGAAGGUUAAUUGAUGGGGUCAGCGCAAGCGAAGCUCCUGAUCGAAGCCCCGGUAAACGGCGGCCGUAACUAUAACGGUCCUAAGGUAGCGAAAUUCCUUGUCGGGUAAGUUCCGACCUGCACGAAUGGCGUAAUGAUGGCCAGGCUGUCUCCACCCGAGACUCAGUGAAAUUGAACUCGCUGUGAAGAUGCAGUGUACCCGCGGCAAGACGGAAAGACCCCGUGAACCUUUACUAUAGCUUGACACUGAACAUUGAGCCUUGAUGUGUAGGAUAGGUGGGAGGCUUUGAAGUGUGGACGCCAGUCUGCAUGGAGCCGACCUUGAAAUACCACCCUUUAAUGUUUGAUGUUCUAACGUGGACCCGUUACCCGGGUUGCGGACAGUGUCUGGUGGGUAGUUUGACUGGGGCGGUCUCCUCCUAAAGAGUAACGGAGGAGCACGAAGGUUGGCUAAUCCUGGUCGGACAUCAGGAGGUUAGUGCAAUGGCAUAAGCCAGCUUGACUGCGAGCGUGACGGCGCGAGCAGGUGCGAAAGCAGGUCAUAGUGAUCCGGUGGUUCUGAAUGGAAGGGCCAUCGCUCAACGGAUAAAAGGUACUCCGGGGAUAACAGGCUGAUACCGCCCAAGAGUUCAUAUCGACGGCGGUGUUUGGCACCUCGAUGUCGGCUCAUCACAUCCUGGGGCUGAAGUAGGUCCCAAGGGUAUGGCUGUUCGCCAUUUAAAGUGGUACGCGAGCUGGGUUUAGAACGUCGUGAGACAGUUCGGUCCCUAUCUGCCGUGGGCGCUGGAGAACUGAGGGGGGCUGCUCCUAGUACGAGAGGACCGGAGUGGACGCAUCACUGGUGUUCGGGUUGUCAUGCCAAUGGCACUGCCCGGUAGCUAAAUGCGGAAGAGAUAAGUGCUGAAAGCAUCUAAGCACGAAACUUGCCCCGAGAUGAGUUCUCCCUGAGACUUAGAGUCUCCUGAAGGAACGUUGAAGACGACGACGUUGAUAGGCCGGGUGUGUAAGCGCAGCGAUGCGUUGAGCUAACCGGUACUAAUGAACCGUGAGGCUUAACCUUACAACGCCGAAG